UCCGGCUUGUCGCCGGCGGUCCCUCUAGAGUGCCCAACUGAAUGAUGGCAACUAAAGGCGAGGGUUGCGCUCGUUGCGGGACUUAACCCAACAUCUCACGACACGAGCUGACGACAGCCAUGCAGCACCUGUCUCUGCGUCCCUUGCGGGAAAGCUCCUAUUAAGGAGCGGUCGCAGGAUGUCAAACCCUGGUAAGGUUCUGCGCGUUGCGUCGAAUUAAACCACAUGCUCCGCUGCUUGUGCGGGCCCCCGUCGAUUCCUUUGAGUUUUAGCCUUGCGGCCGUACUCCCCAGGCGGGGUGCUUAAUGCGUUAGCUGCGCCACUGAACAGCAAGCUGUCCAACGGCUAGCCUCCAUAGUUUACGGCGUGGACUAC
RNAcentral lists this unclassified non-coding RNA (375 nucleotides) under uncultured Alphaproteobacteria bacterium. Its description in RNAcentral is "contains 16S-23S intergenic spacer region". The record is from RNAcentral. Lineage: Bacteria; Pseudomonadati; Pseudomonadota; Alphaproteobacteria.